GCGCGAAAACUUUACAAUGCGAGAAAUCGUGAUAAGGGAACUCCGAGUGCCCGUAAAAUCGGGCUGUUAAUCUGUUUAAAUAACAGGUUGAGAAAGGGCCGGGCAAGACCGGUGCCAGCCGCCGCGGUAAUACCGGCGGCUCGAGUGGUGGCCACUAUUACUGGGCUUAAAGCGUUCGUAGCUGGUCUGUUAAGUCUCUGGGGAAAUCUUCCGGCUUAACCGGAAGGCGUCUCAGGGAUACUGGCAGACUAGGGACCGGGAGAGGUGAGGGGUACUCCAGGGGUAGGAGUGAAAUCCUGUAAUCCUUGGGGGACCACCUGUGGCGAAGGCGCCUCACCAGAACGGCUCCGACAGUGAGGAACGAAAGCUGGGGGAGCAAACCGGAUUAGAUACCCGGGUAGUCCCAGCUGUAAACGAUGCGCGUUAGGUGUAUCGGUGACCACGAGUCACCGAGGUGCCGAAGAGAAAUCGUGAAACGUGCCGCCUGGGAAGUACGGUCGCAAGGCUGAAACUUAAAGGAAUUGGCGGGGGA
RNAcentral lists this ribosomal RNA (532 nucleotides) under uncultured Methanomicrobiales archaeon. RNAcentral describes it as "bacterial SSU rRNA". It matches the Rfam family "Archaeal small subunit ribosomal RNA", at positions 339 to 875 of the family's 1478-position model. Lineage: Archaea; Methanobacteriati; Methanobacteriota; Methanomicrobia; Methanomicrobiales. The record is from RNAcentral.